UCUCCGUAGGUGAACCUGCGGAGGGAUCAUUACAGAGUUCAUGCCCUACCGGGUAGAUCUCCCACCCUAUGUUAUUAUUACUUUGUUGCUUUGGCGGGCCGUUAGGCUCCGGCCCGACUACCGGCCCCGGCUGGUAAGCGCCCGCCAGAGGACCCAAAACCCUGAAUAUUAGUGUCGUCUGAGUACUAUAUCAUAGUUAAAACUUUCAACAACGGAUCUCUUGGUUCUG
This 229-nucleotide unclassified non-coding RNA is filed under the name plant metagenome. RNAcentral describes it as "partial contains small subunit ribosomal RNA, internal transcribed spacer 1, and 5.8S ribosomal RNA". The record is from RNAcentral.